AAGUCAAUCAACAAUUCAGGUCGUACGU
This 28-nucleotide small RNA is filed under the name Bombyx mori (domestic silkworm). Its description in RNAcentral is "ovarian small RNA-10686". Lineage: Eukaryota; Metazoa; Arthropoda; Insecta; Lepidoptera; Bombycidae. The record is from RNAcentral.